Molecule: ribosomal RNA, 279 nt
Filed under: uncultured bacterium
Lineage: Bacteria
Description: partial 16S ribosomal RNA
Rfam family: Bacterial small subunit ribosomal RNA
Source: RNAcentral
UGCCAGCAGCCGCGGUAAUACGGAGGGUGCAAGCGUUAAUCGGAAUUACUGGGCGUAAAGGGCGCGUAGGCGGUUUGGUAAGUUGGGUGUGAAAGCCCCGAGCUCAACUCGGGAAUUGCAUUCAAAACUGCCAGGCUAGAGUGUGGUAGAGGGAAGCGGAAUUCCAGGUGUAGCGGUGAAAUGCGUAGAUAUCUGGAGGAACAUCAGUGGCGAAGGCGGCUUCCUGGACCACAACUGACGCUGAGGCGCGAAAGCGUGGGGAGCAAACAGGAUUAGAUA